GGAGUAUUUUGCCAAAAACAAUAAGCUUCUAACUUAUUUUUAAGCGGUUAAAUUCCGUUUAUACUCCU
Molecule: transfer RNA, 68 nt
Filed under: Metopograpsus quadridentatus
Lineage: Eukaryota; Metazoa; Arthropoda; Malacostraca; Decapoda; Grapsidae
Description: tRNA-Ser
Source: RNAcentral